GUUGGUGUUUGCUGUUGUUUUUGCUAAACUUAAAACCUCUGUAUAAAAGGUAGAUGCAAGCAUUUUCAAAGCAACUUACUUCCAUUUUGUAAUAGCCUAUGAGAUCAGUCUUGAACAAACAGAGGAAGGGAGGUUCUGAAUUAAAAAGCAUUUUUACAGCAUCCAGUAAUGCAAUGGCUGGACGACCACGAUGUGUCAGAUUAACUGGGUGGACACACUGGAUAUUAUCAACAAUUCUGCUGCUGUGGAGUUACCAGAUCAGUGGACAAGGACAAGUGGAAAGCUGGUCUAUGGGAUGAAGGCCUGGGGACAGCUGCACCAGAUACCCUGAGAGGUAUGGCUCAGUGUCCCAACCCUGCCAGUGGAACAGGCCGUGCGCCCUGCACCUCUCCUGCUGCAGGGCAAAUUACUGUCUUUGAAGUUGUUUGUGGAAGGGAGUUGGACAUGACUCAAGGUUUUGUACCAGUGUAGGCAAGGUGUGCAAUGUGCUCACUGCCACUGAGUUACUCUUUGGGGACUUCAACAUCUUGCAGAAGGGUGGGAGGAGAGAAAGAAAGGGGAGGGGGGAGAAGACAUCUGAUGGUGAUAAUGUCUUUCGUUAGCACAGCUAAAUUUGCAAGGUGUCAUUGUUCA
Molecule: long non-coding RNA, 633 nt
Filed under: Anser cygnoides (Swan goose)
Lineage: Eukaryota; Metazoa; Chordata; Aves; Anseriformes; Anatidae
Description: lncRNA (ENSACDG00005009668.1)
Source: RNAcentral